AAAAAUGCCAACAGAUGGCUCUUCCUGCAUCCGCACAGCUGAUGAUUCCAAAGUUUGUUUGGUGGGAUACUCUUGAUGAUACAAAUCUGUAAAUUCAGCUCCACACUCACAGCAGAGAUUUUGGUCCAUGCUUCAAAAUAUUAGAUGAAAUACUUGAUCGACACAACGUACACUGGAACAAGAUUCCCCAUCUGGAAAUGGACACACAGAAGUAGCAAUCAUCAAUUACAACAGAAUUCUACAAAAAAAAAAGUCAGUUCUUUUACUCUAAAGGACACCCUUAUUCAGAAGAGCAGUUAUGCACAUACCAACAUUCUGUAGGAGAGAAUUAAUUAAAAAUAAAUACAUUUACUAACAAAUUAAUCAUGCAAUAUUUAUGAUGUGAAAAGUGCAGUUUAGGGCAAUUAGCAUCAGGUGAGCAUAGAACCUGUCCUUUUGUAGGGCAGUAACAUAGGAUUACAGUUUGACAGAAUUGUGGGUUUAAUUCUGCUCUUCCUUUUACCCAGGCUGAAUUGAGUGCAUAUUCAGACACGAGUGAAUUGAAAAUGGGAUGAAUAAAUACUCAGAAAAGGACUCAUGACUUUGCCCUCCAUGGGUAAACAGAGAUUUUGCUUUUCUUCAAAGAACGAUGAAGCAUGAUUACACUGUGUGUCAUAGUGACUGUGUUUGAAUCUAUAUAAUUAUUAAAAAGAUCAGUUUGGCCAGUAUUUGGACAGAUGGUGUUCACAUACCCAAUCCAUGGUGUAUUUGCAGGAGAGCUAAAGUUAAACUGCUUUUUUGCAUUUGCAAUCACAUUCUGCACUUUACUGACAGCAGCUUUAAUUGGAAAAGCUUCAGCUUUUAUCCUAGCUGAUAUUACUUUCCCUAUAAGAUGGAUACAAUUUGCAAUUAAUUUUUCUCUGUGGACAAUAUUAUAGUGUAAGUAAUAAUUAAACAAACCUUAACAGCUCCUGCCCAGAUGUAAAGGCAGAAAUCACCAGUGAAAGACUCAGAACUGAGCAGUUUCAUUUGUGGAGCCCUAUACAGAGUAUUUGAAAUUCUGCUUUUGAAUUCUUUGGUGAGGAAAAUAUUUGUUAUUUAUUUUGGCACUAGAAGUAGAGUAGCUGUGAAUGCGAUUUUUCGCAGCAGUUCUGCAUAAGAACUUUUCUGCACAGAUUUUAGAAAGCUGCUUCAAUAAUGUGGCAUACAUGAACAAAUAAUACAUUUGAGUUCCUGUGUUUUAGAUUCAUCCUAAAAUUAAUUCUGUUAAAGACAAUGGGCGAAUACCAUUUCUCCAUCUUUAUGCACCAGCAGGGAAAGAUUUAUCAGCUUAUACCAUGUUUGAAUUUCAAACUCCUAAGCAAAGAUAUUUUCAAUUUAUCUGAGGGUAGUAGUUAGAUGGGGAAAAAUGGUAUGAGAAAAUUGCCUAUGUAAGUUUAAUUACACCCAUGACACAACAAGAAAUGGGCCCUUGCACACUGAGGAGCUUGUGUUAUUCCAAUUAUAACCCAUUUGAGUGAGUUCUUUCUAUUUGAGGUGAGAUCUCCUUGAAGUUAAGUACGUAAAUACAUCCUGGUAAAACAGAAGUUUGGAGCAUUGCCCACCUUAGAGUAUUCUGUUAUUUGCAUGUGUGUUUGAUCCUGGUGGAGAACUGAAGAAUGUGUAUUCUGGCUGUCUGAUAUUGAGCAUGUAAAAAUCUUCUAUUCUUGUCUUCUAUUCUCUGGUUCAUUUUAUCUUGGUGUAGAGAGGCAGCCAUUAUGAACUCCCUACUUUUAUGAUGCAUUUCAAGUGUUGUAUGUAUGUAUUGAUUUUAAUUUUGCAAUACCCUUCUUACUACUGUUGUGUUGACACAUACAAUUUCAUACUCCGUAAAACUGUUGACAAUAUAGCAAUUUUAUGCAGUUGUAUGAAAAAUUCUUUCUGUUUUACUCAUUGAUAUACACCAAAACAGUGAUGCAUAAGGA
Molecule: non-coding RNA, 1943 nt
Organism: Coturnix japonica (Japanese quail)
Lineage: Eukaryota; Metazoa; Chordata; Aves; Galliformes; Phasianidae
Source: RefSeq, a predicted model, not a curated record